GACGAACGCUGGCGGCGCGCCUAACACAUGCAAGUCGAACGGAGCUGAGAGAAGCUUGCUUUUCUUAGCUUAGUGGCGAACGGGUGAGUAACGCGUGAGUAACCUGCCCUGGAGUGGGGGACAACAGUUGGAAACGACUGCUAAUACCGCAUAAGCCCACGAUCCGGCAUCGGCUUGAGGGAAAAGGAUUUAUUCGCUUCAGGAUGGACUCGCGUCCAAUUAGCUAGUUGGUGAGGUAACGGCCCACCAAGGCGACGAUUGGUAGCCGGACUGAGAGGUUGAACGGCCACAUUGGGACUGAGACACGGCCCAGACUCCUACGGGAGGCAGCAGUGGGGGAUAUUGCACAAUGGGGGAAACCCUGAUGCAGCGACGCCGCGUGGAGGAAGAAGGUUUUCGGAUUGUAAACUCCUGUCGUCAGGGACGAUAAUGACGGUACCUAACAAGAAAGCACCGGCUAACUACGUG
This 468-nucleotide ribosomal RNA is filed under the name uncultured bacterium. RNAcentral's name for it is "partial 16S ribosomal RNA". It matches the Rfam family "Bacterial small subunit ribosomal RNA", at positions 28 to 507 of the family's 1533-position model. The record is from RNAcentral.